RNAcentral lists this ribosomal RNA (253 nucleotides) under uncultured bacterium. RNAcentral's name for it is "partial 16S ribosomal RNA". It matches the Rfam family "Bacterial small subunit ribosomal RNA", at positions 524 to 777 of the family's 1533-position model. The record is from RNAcentral.
UACGUAGGGGGCAAGCGUUGUUCGGAAUUACUGGGCGUAAAGGGCGCGUAGGCGGCAUGGCAAGUCAGGAGUGAAAGGCCUGGGCUCAACCGAGGAACUGCUUUUGAUACUGCCAAGCUAGAGUGCGGAAGGGGCAACUGGAAUUCCCAGUGUAGCGGUGAAAUGCGUAGAUAUUGGGAAGAACACCUGAGGCGAAGGCGGGUUGCUGGGCCGACACUGACGCUGAGGCGCGAAAGCCAGGGAGCAAAGCGGG